Molecule: small nucleolar RNA, 107 nt
Organism: Oryza sativa Japonica Group (Japanese rice)
Lineage: Eukaryota; Viridiplantae; Streptophyta; Magnoliopsida; Poales; Poaceae
Rfam family: Plant small nucleolar RNA R71
About the family: R71 is a member of the C/D box family of snoRNAs containing the C (UGAUGA) and D (CUGA) box motifs. Multiple nearly identical copies of this snoRNA have been identified in Arabidopsis, and it is thought to function as a 2'-O-ribose methylation guide for 18S ribosomal RNA.
Source: Rfam
AUCCUAUGAUGAGGACAGGCGGCCACAUACUUAUGAAGUCAUUCCCAUGCUUCAGAAAUGGACUUGUCCCUCGUCUGCUGGAAACUGGAAAUCCUUCCACGAAGUGC